This 824-nucleotide ribosomal RNA is filed under the name Termitomyces sp. DKA-2007. RNAcentral describes it as "eukaryotic LSU rRNA". It matches the Rfam family "Eukaryotic large subunit ribosomal RNA", at positions 71 to 624 of the family's 3401-position model. The record is from RNAcentral. Lineage: Eukaryota; Fungi; Basidiomycota; Agaricomycetes; Agaricales; Lyophyllaceae.
AGGAUUCCCCUAGUAACUGCGAGUGAAGCGGGAAAAGCUCAAAUUUAAAAUCUGGUAGCUUUCGCUGCCCGAGUUGUAAUCUAGAGAAGCAUUGUCAGUGCUGGCGCGUGUAUAAGUGUCCUGGAAUGGACCAUCAUAGAGGGUGAAAAUCCCGUCCUUGACACGCUGCUUUAGUGCGUUCAGAUGUGCUCUCAAAGAGUCGGGUUGUUUGGGAAUGCAACUCUAAAUGGGUGGUAAGUUCCAUCUAAAGCUAAAUAUUGGCGAGAGACCGAUAGCGAACAAGUACCGUGAGGGAAAGAUGAAAAGAACUUUGGAAAGAGGGUUAAACAGUACGUGAAAUUGCUGAAAGGGAAACGCUUGAAGUCAGUCGCGUCGGCUGGGAAUCAACCAUUGCAAUCCUUUGCUUGGUUUACUUCUCCAGCUUGACGGGUCAGCAUCAGUUUCGAUCAGUGGACAAAGGUCAAGGGAAUGUGGCACCUCCGGGUGUGUUAUAGCCCUYGGUCAUAUACAUUGGUUGGGUUGACAGUGAGAGGUAUCUGGGUAUCUAAUCCUAUUUCCUAUUCUCACCUUCGUUUCUCAGCGUCAAUCAUUUCUAGAUAAAUAGUUUUCACUUUUAGUAUUCCACUUAGUAUCUACGGAUAUCAUCCCUACUCUAAGUAUUAUUUGGCUUAUCCUCGUUUUGAUUCUAGCUUUUAUUCAUCCUAUCUUUACCUUAGAAUGAAGAUAUUUAAAGUAUAUCGCCUUUAAACAGAUCUUCGUUAUAAGAGCUAUUUGAAAGAUAUGAUUUUGAAAGCAGCCUACACACCCUUUACGCCUGAUUAGGA